This 328-nucleotide unclassified non-coding RNA is filed under the name plant metagenome. Its description in RNAcentral is "partial contains 5.8S ribosomal RNA, internal transcribed spacer 2, and large subunit ribosomal RNA". The stretch from base 1 to 105 matches the Rfam family "5.8S ribosomal RNA", at positions 50 to 154 of the family's 154-position model. The record is from RNAcentral.
GAAAUGCGAUAAGUAAUGUGAAUUGCAUAAUUCCGUGAAUCAUCGAAUCUUUUAACUCACAUUGCGCCCUCUGGUAUUCCGGGGGGCAUGCCUGUCCGAGCGUCAUUGCGAACCCCUCAAGCACUUCUUGUGUGAUGGGCCCUCCCGCGUCUUGGUCGUCAAGACGGGCCCGAAAUGCAGUGGCGGCUUCGCGGUUAUCCGAUCAGCCAGAGCGUAUGGGGACUCUCUCUCUGUCACACGCCCGCGGCGCGGACCGACGCCUGUCGACCUUUAUUCAUCUUUUCUCGGUUGACCUCGGAUCAGGUAGGGAUACCCGCUGAACUUAAGC